GCGGAUGCCUUGGCUCUCGGAGGCGAUGAAGGACGUGAUAAGCUGCGAUAAGCUUCGGGCAGGUGCAAAUAACCUUUGAUCCGAAGAUUUCCGAAUGGGACAACCCGUCAUUCUGAAGGAAUGACAUCUUGCAUAGCAAGAGGCUAACGCAGGGAACUGAAACAUCUUAGUACCUGUAGGAAAAGAAAAUAAUAAUGAUUCCCCUAGUAGUGGCGAGCGAACGGGGAUUAGCCCAAACCAAUGUUGUUACGGCAAUAUUGGGGUUGUAGGACCACGAUGUCGCAAGAAAUUUAGUGAGAAGAACCCUUUGGAAAAUGGGACCAUAGACGGUGAUAGUCCGGUAUUCGAAGCUAAAUGAAGCGUAGUGGUAUCCUGAGUAGCGCGGGACACGAGGAAUCUUGCGUGAAUCUGCCGGGACCAUCCGGUAAGGCUAAAUACUCCCGAGAGACCGAUAGCGAACCAGUACUGUGAAGGAAAGGUGAAAAGCACUUCGAAUAGAAGAGUGAAAUAGUCCCUGAAACCGUGCGCCUACAAGCGGUCGGAGCUGCUUCAGCAGUGACGGCGUGCCUUUUGCAUAAUGAACCUACGAGUUACUUUUUCCGGCAAGGUUAAGGAUCUUGAGAUCCGCAGCCGAAGCGAAAGCGAGUCUUAACAGGGCGAUUAGUCGGAAGGAGUAGACGCGAAACCAAGUGAUCUACCCUUGGUCAGGUUGAAGGUUAGGUAACACUAACUGGAGGACCGAACCGAUAAGCGUUGAAAAGCUUCCGGAUGAACUGAGGGUGGGGGUGAAAGGCUAAUCAAACUUGGAGAUAGCUCGUACUCCCCGAAAUGCAUUUAGGUGCAGCCUUGCGGGUUACUGAUGUGAGGUAGAGCGACUGAUAAGAUGCGAGGGCUUCACCGCCUAUCAAGUCUUGAUAAACUCCGAAUGCGCAGUAGUUCGAUCCCAGGAGUGAGGGCAUGGGUGCUAAGGUCCAUGUCCUAAAGGAGAAGAAUCCGGACCAUCAGCUAAGGUCCCGAAAUAAUUGCUAAGUUGAACUAACGAAGUCAGAUUGCUAAGACAGCUAGGAUGUUGGCUUGGAAGCAGCCAUUCAUUUAAAGAGUGCGUAACAGCUCACUAGUCGAGGAGUUUGGCGUGGAUAAUAAUCGGGCAUUAAGCAAUUUACCGAAGCUAUGGGAUCAGUAAUGAUCGGUAGGGGAGCAUUCCACUCUGCGUCGAAGGUGAAGCGUGAGCUUUGCUGGAGCGUGUGGAAAAGCAAAUGUAGGUAUAAGUAACGAUAAAGGGGGUGAGAAACCCCCUCGCCGAAAGACUAAGGUUUCCUGAUCAACGCUAAUCGGAUCAGGGUUAGUCGGGUCCUAAGGCUCAGCCGAACGGUGAGGCCGAUGGCAGAACAGGUUAAUAUUCCUGUACUACCUUAAGGAGUGACGUGGAGACGGAGCAGUGACAGCGCCGCGGACUGACGGAAUAGUCCGUUGAAGGGUGUAGAUGUUGAUCUUUGCAGGCAAAUCCACAAAGAGAGUCGAACCUGAUAGUAUGGAGCGUUCUUCGGAACAAUCCAAUAGUGCGUGUAAACAUACUCCCAAGAAAAUCCGCUAAACUUAAUCUUUAAGGUACCCGUACCGCAAACGGACACACGUAGUCGGGUUGAAUAUACUAAGGCGCUUGAGUGAUUCACGGUUAAGGAACUAGGCAAAUUGACCCUGUAACUUCGGGAUAAAGGGUCCCAACGAGAGUUGGGCGCAGAGAAUAGGUCCAGGCAACUGUUUAACAAAAACACAGGGCUGUGCCAAAUUGAAAGAUUACGUAUACAGCCUGACACCUGCCCGGUGCUGGAAGGUUAAGAGGAGAUGUCAUCGCAAGAGAAGCAUUGAAUUGAAGCCCCAGUAAACGGCGGCCGUAACUAUAACGGUCCUAAGGUAGCGAAAUUCCUUGUCGGGUAAGUUCCGACCUGCACGAAUGGUGUAAUGAUCUGGACGCUGUCUCAACCGUGAGCUCAGUGAAAUUGUAGUAUCGGUGAAGAUGCCGAUUACCCGCGAUGGGACGAAAAGACCCCGUGAACCUUUACUAUAGCUUAACAUUGAAUUUGGGUAAUUGAUGUGUAGGAUAGGCCGGAGACUUUGAAUCAGGUACGCCAGUAUUUGUGGAGUCGCUGUUGAAAUACGGCCCUUUGAUUAUUUGAGUUCUAACUCGUGGUACGAGGACACUGUUUGGUGGGUAGUUUGACUGGGGUGGUCGCCUCCAAAAUAGUAACGGAGGCUUCUAAAGGUGCCCUCAGGACGAUUGGUAACCGUCCGCAGAGUGUAAUGGCAUAAGGGCGCUUGACUGGGAGACUUACAAGUCGAUCAGGUAGGAAACUAGAGCAUAGUGAUCCGGUGUUUCCGUAUGGAAGGGACAUCGCUCAAAGGAUAAAAGGUACUCCGGGGAUAACAGGCUGAUC
RNAcentral lists this ribosomal RNA (2435 nucleotides) under human gut metagenome. RNAcentral's name for it is "bacterial LSU rRNA". It matches the Rfam family "Bacterial large subunit ribosomal RNA", at positions 24 to 2487 of the family's 2925-position model. The record is from RNAcentral.